UACGUAGGGUGCGAGCGUUAAUCGGAAUUACUGGGCGUAAAGCGUGCGCAGGCGGCUUUGCAAGACAGCUGUGAAAUCCCCGGGCUCAACCUGGGAACUGCAUUUGUGACUGCAAGGCUAGAGUACGGCAGAGGGGGAUGGAAUUCCGCGUGUAGCAGUGAAAUGCGUAGAUAUGCGGAGGAACACCAAUGGCGAAGGCAAUCCCCUGGGCCUGUACUGACGCUCAUGCACGAAAGCGUGGGGAGCAAACAGG
This 253-nucleotide ribosomal RNA is filed under the name uncultured bacterium. RNAcentral describes it as "partial 16S ribosomal RNA". It matches the Rfam family "Bacterial small subunit ribosomal RNA", at positions 524 to 776 of the family's 1533-position model. The record is from RNAcentral.